AUUGAACGCUGGCGGCAUGCCUUACACAUGCAAGUCGAACGGCAGCACGGGAGCAAUCCUAGUGGCGAGUGGCGAACGGGUGAGUAAUAUAUCGGAACGUGCCCAGUCGUGGGGAUAACGUAGCGAAAGCUACGCUAAUACCGCAUACGAUCUAUGGAUGAAAGCGGGGGAUCGCAAGACCUCGCGCGAUUGGAGCGGCCGAUAUCAGAUUAGGUAGUUGGUGAGGUAAAGGCUCACCAAGCCGACGAUCUGUAGCUGGUCUGAGAGGACGACCAGCCACACUGGGACUGAGACACGGCCCAGACUCCUACGGGAGGCAGCAGUGGGGAAUUUUGGACAAUGGGCGCAAGCCUGAUCCAGCAAUGCCGCGUGCAGGAUGAAGGCCUCGGUUGUAACUGCUUUGUUACGGAACG
This 413-nucleotide ribosomal RNA is filed under the name uncultured bacterium. Its description in RNAcentral is "bacterial SSU rRNA". It matches the Rfam family "Bacterial small subunit ribosomal RNA", at positions 30 to 447 of the family's 1533-position model. The record is from RNAcentral.